Molecule: long non-coding RNA, 1035 nt
Organism: Helianthus annuus (common sunflower)
Lineage: Eukaryota; Viridiplantae; Streptophyta; Magnoliopsida; Asterales; Asteraceae
Exons: 3
Source: RefSeq, a predicted model, not a curated record
AAAAGCAUAACAUAUAUGUGGGUAUAAAUACAUAAAUGAUGUGCAAUGUUUAAGGGUAAAUUAAACUAUCAUGCAUGAUGCACGUUAUAUGCAUGAUCUAACGGGUAAAUCAAAACAUCAUGCAAGAUGCAUGUUUAAACUGGUAAAUUAAACCAUCACCAUUCUACCAUUCUAUUGAUGUGCCUAUAAAUACGUUUAUUUUGUCCAUUAAAACUCUACUUAUCUUAAAUAUUCAUAGAAUAAUACAAACAUAAAGUUAUACCGCACAAUGAUGCAGCAUGUGAAAUCACAUACGAUGGUAGUUCUCCUGUUACUACUGAUUUGUUACACCGGUACUGUAGCUUACGGUAGCCUGGGUUUACAAAACUCCUUACGCUAGAAAGCUACUAGAGUACGGUAGGAUUUUUCUUUCAGGAGCUACCGUAACUUAUGGUAGCCCCUGGCAGACUAAGAGGUGCAGUAGGUCACGGAUUAAUAUAAAAAAUAAAAUAAUAGCAAAUCACGUGAUUCAUCCCCACCCAUUCGAUUUCCUGCAUUUAUCCCUAUCCACACAUUACCUUUUCACUAACCAUCUUUUUCACAUAACCCUAGUUCCUCCAUAACCUUCCACACCUUCAAUUCUUCAUAUCUCUCUCAAAUCUUAACCAAAUCCUCUGAUUUCGGGGUCUUUUUUGAGGGAAAUUUCAAGAGCUUUCUGAUUUUGGGUUGGAAUUUAGAAGAAAACAACAUUUUCUGGUCUGAUUUGCAUGUUUUAAAGCCGAAAAUUUUGGGGUUUUAGGAGGUUACUUAUUUUUGAGGUUCCUUUGUAUCUUUGCAUCUACAAACUCAAGUUGAUGAUAUGAAAUUGUUAGUUUGGAAGAUGGCUAUGGUUGUAAAAGUUAAGUUGAUGCUAAAUUUCUGAAUUUUGGGAAAUCUUUACAUUGUAGAGGCAUCAUGCCAAAUUUUGAAAAAAUAUAAUAUGAAACCUUGUGUUUAUUGGCAUCUACAACCAUAGUUACAAGCAAUAUCUGGAUCCGACGGAUAAGCCGAUAUGGG